AUGGUAACCAGAUGCAAGUAUCCAUCCUUUUUCUAUGAAUUACUCCCAAAAAUGCAAUUUGCAGUCCGCAACUUGAGCUAUUAUCUGUUUAUUUUUUACUUCCUAGCUAUUGAUCAGUACAUGAAUAUCGUCAUGCUAUCAUUCAGCAGCCGGAUCAGUAACUUCAUAUAUGUACUAUUUUCUGAUCAAGUAAAUUCAUAUAUGUACUCAUCUCUGAUUGGUAGCGUCAUUAUGCCGCCGCUUGAAGAUAAACAAGCAUUUACUCUUUAUUCAGUUAAUAAACUAUUGUUUGUUUGUUUUUUCUUGUGCUGA
RNAcentral lists this ribosomal RNA (312 nucleotides) under Triticum aestivum (bread wheat). RNAcentral's name for it is "partial small subunit ribosomal RNA". Lineage: Eukaryota; Viridiplantae; Streptophyta; Magnoliopsida; Poales; Poaceae. The record is from RNAcentral.